AUUGCAAUUUACAUAUUCUAAAAUUCAAGGUUUUAAUGGUUGUGCAUUUUGGUCCAUAGCAGCUAUACCGGUUUAUACUAGUGAUAGUAAUCUAGUCAUCAAUAUAUAUUCAGAAUUUCAGACAGCAAUGAGCAUGUUGUUGGAUGAAAAUUUGCAGGUUCAUGGUCCUAUUUAAUCAAGGAGUCAUCUAAUGACAUCCAUAUACCAUUAGAGGGGUUCAAAUGACAUUUGUUUUGCUGUCAGAUGUCUUGAAAGUACUGAUUUCACCUUACUGCAAGGGAUUAGCUCCAUAAAUUUAGUUUCUUGUCAUACUUCAUCUUUAAGUUAAAUUGUAGAGGUGUCCAAGGGACUUAUUCAUUGUAAAGGGUCCUAUUCAUUGUAAAGGGUCCUAGAACACUGUAAAUACCACAUUUGAAUAGUGAAUUAAUUGAUGCUUUGAAA
This 441-nucleotide long non-coding RNA is filed under the name Phoenix dactylifera (date palm). RNAcentral describes it as "long non-coding RNA (PDAC_LNC009820)". Lineage: Eukaryota; Viridiplantae; Streptophyta; Magnoliopsida; Arecales; Arecaceae. The record is from RNAcentral.